AGACAACAAAUGCUGUGUAAAAUUAUGCAAACUGACAUCUUUUUCAUGUAUGUAAACUUCUAAAAAGAUAUGAUCUAGAUUAUCUGAAAUGCUAUCAAAAAAAUUAUUAUAUUCUUUUGUUCCUAAAGAUGUUUUCUAAUGUUUGUACCAUUCUCCUAAAACUGGUGGCACUGUGAGUAUGAGGAACUGUACAUAUAAAAGAGCAGCCCGCCUCUUUACAUAGAGAUCACUUUUACUGGAGCACAGUUCAGUUAGCAACAUUGCAGUGGUCAUACACACGAUGCUGGAAUUUAAGUGGAUUGCAGUUUUACUCUACACCUUAAGUUGGAUCUCUGCCAUAGUCACACAGUUUCAUGCUGCUGAGGUUCAGGCUGGAGAAGAAGUCACACUGGAGUGCUCCAACUCUUGGUUGCAUAUUCUGGUUCAAAAUGAUCAACAGACCCAACACAAGCUGCAUCUUGUUUAUAUACAGUGCUGAUAGCAACGCUUCAAAAAUGGCAAAUAUAACAUGAUGCCCACUGUGCUGUGCUGGACUUAUUUGACGUGUUUUAUUUCUUUGGAGAAUUUAACACUAAUACUCAGUGCAACAUGUUUAACAAUUCAUGGUAUGGCUUUUUUGAAGACAUCCCAAUAAAAUACACAUUCAUAUUUUACUCAUUUUUAGAAUAAUUACUUGCCUCAAACCACAGCAGACCAAACGUUAUGAGAAUAUUCUUAUUUCAGUUAUAAGUAAAAUUAUAGUGCUACAUGUAUGUCAUUUGUCUCUUUCCUGAAAGAAACCACUGAAUCAUAACUGUAGUUCUGGAGUGCAGAUGCAACUCAAGAAACUUCGCAAGUUUAUUUACAGCACAGGAAUAAAUCACAAAUUAUUUUCUCUGUAAAACCUUCUUUCAUCAAUCUCUCUCUGUCUCAGCCAAAACUCUAGGAUUUCUGUGCAGAAGAGGGGAAAAAAGGGUUAAUAAUUCACAGGGCAAAUACUGAGCAAACAUUCAAGCAACAAGAGCCAGCUUCACUAAUGCAGUUAGUUCAACAAUCCAGUACUGACUGAAGGAAUUCCUCAAUCUCAAGUAAUAGCUGGAAAUAAGAUUAUCAAUAGGUGAACUUGUUACCUCAAAGUGUGUGGAUGUAGAGGGUGGGAACCCAGGAAAGGUCCCGCCCCUGAAACACGAAGAACCUGUCUCUCAGCCUCUCAGCGGUUUCAAUGGGAAACACGUUUGAAGAGCUAACUCAUCAUCCCAGGACUCUGCAGUCUAUUUACACCUGCAGGCCAGUGGACACUCUUUCAAUGAUGAGGAUGUACACAUCCUGGACAGGGAGGAACGCUGGUUUGAGCAGGGAGUCAAGGAGGCCAUUUACGUGAAAAGGGAAAAACCAUCUCUGAAUCGAGGAGGAGGCCUAAGGGUACAUUAUUCCCCAUCUUAAAAUGCUGUGAUUGCAGCCAUUUCCCAACUCUCUGUGAAUGGUGCUCAUGGCUAUUGAUCAGUGGUCAUGACAAUGUGCAUAUUAAUGAUCAAGGAACUGA
This is a long non-coding RNA of Oreochromis niloticus (Nile tilapia), 1522 nucleotides long. RefSeq lists it as uncharacterized. NCBI's taxonomy places the organism in Eukaryota, Metazoa, Chordata, Actinopteri, Cichliformes, Cichlidae. The transcript is spliced from 3 exons. The record is from RefSeq and is a predicted model, not a curated record.